AAAGGUUUUGGUAGUGGUGUAUUACUGAUGGUUGCAAUAUUUCUUUCUGAGCAUUCUGGGUCUUUGUCCUCUUCAAUUUUAACAGAAGGGAUACUGUUUCCAGUAAGCGGCGAAUUAGACGUGUAUAGCGCGAGUUGGUAAAAAUAUUAAGUGAAUGGCGAGUGAAGUGAGCGGUAUGAGUGAUGAAAGAAGAGACAAGAAGAAGCAUGUAUACAAUAGUUAAUGUGAAAAAGCAGGAAAUUUAGUAUUACACAGUUACAAAAUACUGAACUGAAAAUACCAGCAUAUAACUUCAAUGAAGAAAUUAAUGAAGAAUUGUUCAUAUACCGUUUUACAAUCUUCACCAACAUCUGGUUCAUUUGAAACUUCCAAUUGAAAUUCUGGCAGACAUAGACUUUUAUUGAAGAAAAUUCCGAAACUAGCAUAAGAAAAAUAUAUGCUCUAGGAAUCGGUACUUUCAUCUGAAGAAUGCUUUAUAAGCAGUUACUUUAUUCACACUUGUUAUGUGUGAAUAAAGGGUACUUAAACCACUUGCAUAGACCUCUCGAUCCAUCGAUUUAAACCCGUUGGUUUUUGUGGAGACAUUUGAAAAGUAAAGCAUAUUCUUCGCCGAUAAAUGACUUAAAAGAACUACGCAAUCGAAUCCACUAUGCUUGCCAAAUAUUCGGACAAAGAUAUUUUAUUAGAGUUCUUUAACAUAUUGUAAACUGUAGCUCUAGAAGAAAAGCUAGAAAGAGCAGAAUUACAGCUUAGCCGCUGUAUUUGUAGACUCGUACCACGUCAAUGUGCUACGUCAUUUGAUCUAAUUUAUAUCACAAACACACAGAAAGUAAAUAUAAAGCUAAAUUGGCUUAAAUUGUAAAUUACUCAUUAAUGACUAAAUAUGGAUCUAUACAUAAAAGAUAAGAUUACGUCGGAGACUUGUUACAAUUAUUAUAGAAGAAAUCGAUGGGCGUUAAUCAUUUGUUAGAACAAGUGCAAUAGAAGUAUAUAAUAUGGAUCUCAGGUUUGAACAGAUGUACUCGUAACUAUACAUGUAAUGCCGACGAAAA
Molecule: long non-coding RNA, 1052 nt
Organism: Megachile rotundata (alfalfa leafcutting bee)
Lineage: Eukaryota; Metazoa; Arthropoda; Insecta; Hymenoptera; Megachilidae
Source: RefSeq, a predicted model, not a curated record